ACUCUACUCCUCUCUCUUCCUUCCACUUCCUUCAGAGAGAUUAAUCUCCUCCUUCAUCCUUCUAACCUGUCUUGCUGGGGAGCUGGAGGCAAGAGGAUGCUCCAGAAGAGACCCUUCUCCAUAGAGCAUCAUUCCUGGCUCUGCCUGAGGAUCCUCGUUAGCUAACCUGCCUGCAUGAUGAAAGACAUGACUUCUUGUUUUAUUCUCCCCAGCACUUGGAGAGAAAUCAGAGCAGCUCUCUGAAAUCGAGAACGAAGCCCCCUCUUCCUGGAGCCUUGCAGACUGUUGGAGGGAACUGCUGUGGCUGUUUACCUAGUCCUGGACCGUCCUUGCCCUUGCUCCAAGACCUAACAGUGAAGGCCAGCUCUCCUCUUCUAGUGACAGCUCACUCGCUUUGGAAGAGGACAGUCUUUAUGUCAUACACACUGAGGAAGGUAAGGGAUCGUGCCCACGUGCCAAGAAACUGCAAGCUCUUGACAGCAGGCAUGGGAGUUAUCUUAGAAGAACGUGCCCUUGGCCAGCGCCUGAAGCCUAGCCAUCCCGAUGGAUCACUCCUGAACGUUUGCCCCAUAGAAACUGCAUGAUAAUGAAUGUUUGUUGUCUUAAGUUCAGUGUGAGGGUGAACUGUUACCGAGCAGUAUAUAACCCUAUAGACAGGGUAAUUGAAGAGGCUCCCCCUUAACCUCGUGGGCAAAAGUCAUCUUGAUUUAUUUAUCACUUUGUGCAUUUCAAAGAAGAUAUGUGGGCCUCUCAAGCCCUAUGAACAGAAUGGAGAACAUGCCAUUUCAGAAGCUAAUUGUCCCACAGCCCUGGCAGUGUGAGACCCUCCAGGACCAAAAUGAAUAGGCCAGCUUUUAGUGUCUCUCUCACCAAGCAAGCAUUGUCCAUGUCCCUGUCUCAUAGGCAACUUCAACAGAAAGACCCUGGAAAUCGAUGCAAAAUAAAAGCGGGAGGGAAAAAGUCCCCAACUAUAAUUCUUCCUGAGGUGCUAUGCAACACUCCGCCGUGCGCAGCCUCCCUGCCUCUUCUGGUUCUCAUAACACACAGGAGUUUACGGCCUUGGAUCUGGCCCAAAAUUGUAGAUAGCCAUCAAUUUUGAGAACGUUCAUAUAUUCUGAACAGUGAAACUGUUCAUGGUUGUGGUGUUUAUGGCUGGGGCUUAAAUAGGAAGCUAAUAAAGAUAAAAAACUGUU
RNAcentral lists this long non-coding RNA (1193 nucleotides) under Mus caroli (Ryukyu mouse). Its description in RNAcentral is "RIKEN cDNA 2310005E17 gene (MGP_CAROLIEiJ_G0004994.1)". Lineage: Eukaryota; Metazoa; Chordata; Mammalia; Rodentia; Muridae. The record is from RNAcentral.